Molecule: transfer RNA, 67 nt
Filed under: Marmota monax (woodchuck)
Lineage: Eukaryota; Metazoa; Chordata; Mammalia; Rodentia; Sciuridae
Description: tRNA.Ala
Source: RNAcentral
GGAUGUAGCUCAGUGGUAGAAUACUUGUCUAGCAUGUAUGAGGUCCUGAGUUUAAUCCCCAGUACCA